RNAcentral lists this non-coding RNA (24 nucleotides) under Cricetulus griseus (Chinese hamster). Lineage: Eukaryota; Metazoa; Chordata; Mammalia; Rodentia; Cricetidae. The record is from RNAcentral.
CUAGCAUCACAAGUAUUAGAGGCA